CGGACGGGUGAGUAACACGUGAGCAACCUGCCUUUCAGAGGGGGACAACAGUUGGAAACGACUGCUAAUACCGCAUAAAAUAACGGAACCGCAUGAUUCUGUUAUCAAAGGAGAAAUCCGCUGAAAGAUGGGCUCGCGUCUGAUUAGAUAGUUGGUGAGGUAACGGCCCACCAAGUCGACGAUCAGUAGCCGGACUGAGAGGUUGAACGGCCACAUUGGGACUGAGACACGGCCCAGAUCCUACGGAAGGCAGCAG
RNAcentral lists this ribosomal RNA (256 nucleotides) under uncultured bacterium. RNAcentral describes it as "partial 16S ribosomal RNA". It matches the Rfam family "Bacterial small subunit ribosomal RNA", at positions 99 to 354 of the family's 1533-position model. The record is from RNAcentral.